CUUGACGGUACCUAACCAGAAAGCCACGGCUAACUACGUGCCAGCAGCCGCGGUAAUACGUAGGUGGCAAGCGUUAUCCGGAAUUAUUGGGCGUAAAGCGCGCGCAGGUGGUUUCUUAAGUCUGAUGUGAAAGCCCACGGCUCAACCGUGGAGGGUCAUUGGAAACUGGGAGACUUGAGUGCAGAAGAGGAAAGUGGAAUUCCAUGUGUAGCGGUGAAAUGCGUAGAGAUAUGGAGGAACACCAGUGGCGAAGGCGACUUUCUGGUCUGUAACUGACACUGGGCGCGAAAGCGUGGGGAGCAAACAGGAUUAGAUACCCUGGUAGUCCACGCCGUAAACGAUGAGUGCUAAGUGUUAGAGGG
RNAcentral lists this ribosomal RNA (362 nucleotides) under Bacillus thuringiensis. RNAcentral describes it as "bacterial SSU rRNA". It matches the Rfam family "Bacterial small subunit ribosomal RNA", at positions 468 to 830 of the family's 1533-position model. The record is from RNAcentral. Lineage: Bacteria; Bacillati; Bacillota; Bacilli; Caryophanales; Bacillaceae.